AGCUUUGCGCAGUGGCAGUAUCGUAGCCAAUGAGGUUUAUCCGAGAUACGAUUAUUGCUAAUUGAAAACAAACCAUCAAGUCAAGAAGAGCAUGGAGCAAAGUACUACAAGUCUUGCAAGA
RNAcentral lists this small nuclear RNA (121 nucleotides) under Octodon degus (degu). RNAcentral describes it as "U4 spliceosomal RNA (ENSODEG00000024969.1)". The stretch from base 1 to 83 matches the Rfam family "U4 spliceosomal RNA". Rfam says of the family: U4 small nuclear RNA (U4 snRNA) is a component of the major U2-dependent spliceosome. The structure of U4 snRNA from yeast and human has been reported. Lineage: Eukaryota; Metazoa; Chordata; Mammalia; Rodentia; Octodontidae. The record is from RNAcentral.